CAAAAGAGAUAUGACAUCAAAAAAUUUACUAAUCUUGCUGCUAGUGAUUCUUUUCCUCUGGGAUAACUGAUGUUAGCAGUUUAGUGAAUAUUUUUUUCCAGUUUACUCUUUGCUCUUUCAAACAUGUUUACAAAAAUAGGAUCAUACCAUAUACCUGACUCUGCAUCUUGUUUUUUAUAUAAUAUAUCAUAAGCACAAUUUCAGGUCCAUACACAUGUACACACACACACAACAUACACACAGAUCAACUUAUUUUUAUCAGCUGCUUAACAUUUCAUAGAACAAAUGUCCCAUAAUUCAUUCAAUCAUUGCCUUAACGAUCAAUAUUUAGCGCAUUCUUUUGUUUUUGCAACAAACAUCCUUGUACAUAUCACCUUAUGUGUCUAUAUGGUUUUGUACAAAAAAUUCUCCAAAGUGGAAGUGCUGGACCAAAGGUCAUACACAUUUUAAACUCCAAUACAGAUUAGUGUCCCAAAAGAUUGUGGCAGCUCACACUCCCACCAGCCGCGUCAAAACUGCUCAACUGCCCCCGCCUGGCUGGCACUGGAUGUCAUCAAUAUUUAAUAUUUUCCCCAAUCUGAUGGGAGAAAAAUGGCAUUUGGCAUAUCGUUAUUCUUUUAAUUUGCAUUUCUAUGACUGCCUGAGAGGUUGAGCAUCUUUUCAUUUGUUUAUUGGCCAUUUGCAUUUCUGCAUCUGUGAGUUGUCUGAUCAUAUUCUUUGUCUAUGUGUCUUUCCUUAUUUUUGUUUUGUAUUUUUCUUAUCAAUUUUUAGGUACUCUUUGUAUGUUGAGAAUAUUAAUCCUUUGUCUAUCUCAUGUGUGGUCUACCUCUAUGCCAAAAAGAUCUUUGCAAGCCACAACAAGAUCUCUGCAAGCUGCAAUUCUGCAUGGAUGAAAUGCUGCAAGAUGAAACAAUAAGAAUAAAUGCAAAUUCUUAUUCUUGGGUCUGCAAGCUCAUGCUAUCCUUGGAAGGAGAAGGCGGGAUGUCCUGACCAUUCAUGACAUCAGAGGUUGAUGAGUUCAGUGGGAGGUAACAGUGGGAUACAGCUGCUAAAACAGCUGAAAAGGGACCUUCGCAUGCCUUCAUGGAGAUAGAGGGUUUACAAUGUCCUUCCCACCUCUGUGAAAGGGGCUCACUCUGGAGCCCUAGAGAAGGGUGAGAGGGCUGGAGCCCCCUUCCUGUGAGGAGUUGGCCCUGCUCAAUUUGGAACAGAGCAAGACUAUCCCUGCCUAGGGGGGAGCAGAUGAACCUCUGUGCCCAGAGGGCAGAGUGGGGUCCACGAGACAUCCCAGGGAGGUGGGUCCCAGCUGAGAGUGAGGAGGAACUUUUUCCUUAACUACCUAUUUCCAGAAUUGCAUCCCAAGUGCCUCCUACCCCUUUUCUUGCUUUAUCUUCUCCCUCACAGUGUUUGCAAUUUCUAGCAUACCAUACAUUUUAUUAAUUUUUUGUACUGUGUCCCUUUACUAAAGUGUCAGCCCCAUGAGGACGGGAGCGUUUGUUUUGUUCACUGCUGUGUCCCUUCCACAACCAUUGUUAUUGUUUCUCCCACUCAGAGCUGUGCAGAAAUGGGAUGAGCUGCUGAAUAGGUGGUGAGUGCCCCAUCAGGAGAGGCGAGCAAGCAGAAUCUGCCUGGCCACUUAGCAGGCAUUCUGUGCAGGGGGAUCCCAGUCUUCAUCUGCAGUUUUCCUACCUAGGUGAGGUCCACAGGGUGAUGCCAGAUCCCACUGCGGGGUGGAUUCAAAGGGCAGGAGGAGAUUCCGCUCAGGCAGGGCAGAGCAGGGAGAGCACAGGCAUCCAGGGGAACAGCUGAGCCCCUGGUCGCUGGAGGGUGCAGACACAGGUGGCAUGCCUACCCACCGGGGAAGUGGUCAAGGGCUGACAGUGCCAGGUGAGGGUCAGGUGCCAAGAGGGCCCUUCCCGGUUCUUGCAUUUGUGGCCACCCCGGGCCGGCAAGGAGGGGCUGCGCCAGCCAUCUCAGAGGUUCCAGCAGCCUUGCCCCUCUGCCCACAUUGGCCUAGCCUGUGGCUUUUGACAAGUGUAGAGUGAAAUCCUCUGGGCUUGACUUCUAGCUUUGCCACUGACUUGCUGUGUGACCUUCCAAAAGCCUUUUGCUUCUCUCUGCCUCAAUGUCCCCAUCUUCAAAGUGGGAAUAAGAAGAAGCACUUACAUCUUAGGGCUCUUAUGAGGUGUAAGCAAGUUAAUACUUAUAAAGUGUU
RNAcentral lists this long non-coding RNA (2215 nucleotides) under Homo sapiens (human). Its description in RNAcentral is "HSALNT0051355". Lineage: Eukaryota; Metazoa; Chordata; Mammalia; Primates; Hominidae. The record is from RNAcentral.